AGUGAACGCUGGCGGCGUGCCUAAUACAUGCAAGUCGAACGAAUUGGCGCACGGGUGAGUAAUAUAUAGUUAAUCUGCCCUACACAGAGGAACAACAGUUGGAAACGGCUGCUAAUACCCCAUAGUGUAGGAUGAGACUAUAUCGUAUCAGCAAGUUGGUAAGGUAAUGGCUUACCAAGGCUAUGACGCGUAACUGGUCUGAGAGGAUGAUCAGUAGAAUUGGAACUGAGACACGGUUCAAACUCCUACGGGAGGCAGCAGUAAGGAAUAUUGCGCAAUGGGGGAAACCCUGACGCAGCAACGCCGCGUGGAGGAUGACACUUUGCGGAGAGUAAACGCCUUUUAUCAGGAAAGCGGUACCUGAUGAAUAAGCACCGGCUAACUCCGUGCCAGCAGCCGCGGUAAUAC
RNAcentral lists this ribosomal RNA (408 nucleotides) under uncultured bacterium. RNAcentral describes it as "partial 16S ribosomal RNA". It matches the Rfam family "Bacterial small subunit ribosomal RNA", at positions 29 to 526 of the family's 1533-position model. The record is from RNAcentral.